Long non-coding RNA from Syngnathus acus (greater pipefish), 620 nucleotides. RefSeq lists it as uncharacterized. The record is from RefSeq and is a predicted model, not a curated record. Lineage: Eukaryota; Metazoa; Chordata; Actinopteri; Syngnathiformes; Syngnathidae. The transcript has 2 exons.
GGGAGGAAUUCCCCGGUGGUCCACGAGCCAUAGCUUGGGAAUCUGCAAAAUUGAAAUAUGAAUCGAGAUGAGUGCUCCGAUACCAACACACUGAUACUGAUACCAGAUGCCGGACCCCCCUGCCCCCCCCCAUCCUAUGGAGUACAAUGAGGUAACACUCAGUGGCAGUGAGAGUUCAGCGCCCAGUCGGUUUCUUUCCGAGAGAGAGAGACACAUCAAAAACCGCCCUGUGUGUCACUUCCUGCACCAAAACUAAAUGGAGGACAUUAAUUUAAGAAUGGCUCUUAUGCAAGAGGCAGCGACCGCACUCACCUUUUGGAUGUUUACUUUAAAGGCAACAAAUUUGACAGUACUAACAAAUUUAACAAUUAACAAUUUUAUAUCUUUCGAGGGAGAAGACAAAGACGUCAAGACUAUCAAUAAUGUUAAUGCUAAUGUUUUGACUCGUUGCUAAUGUUUUGACAGCCGCUAUGGGCCUUAUGUGACAUGACAACCUUUCCCUGCAAAAAGUCAAACCAACCCUAGACUAUUUUACUGAACGCUUUGUUGAAGUCAACUUGCUAUAUGUUGAAGCAUCUCAUGUGUGUGGUUUCGUUCUACGAAUGAAGCUGAGAUGAGCA